UGGGGAAUCUUGCACAAUGGGGGCAACCCUGAUGCAGCGACGCCGCGUGAGCGAUGAAGCCCUUCGGGGCGUAAAGCUCUUUCGACCGGAACGAUAAUGACGGUACCGGGAGAAGAAGCUGCGGCUAACUACGUGCCAGCAGCCGCGGUAAUACGUAGGGGGCAAGCGUUGUCCGGAUUUACUGGGUGUAAAGGGCGCGCAGGCGGGAUAAAAAGUCAGUGGUGAAAUCCUACAGCUUAACUGUAGAACUGCCUUUGAUACUUUUAUUCUUGAGUUCGGGAGAGAGAGACGGAAUUCCAGGUGUAGUGGUGAAAUACGUAGAUAUCUGGAAGAACACCAGUUGCGAAGGCGGUCUCUUGGUCCGACACUGACGCUGAGGCGCGAAAGCGUGGGGAGCAAACA
RNAcentral lists this ribosomal RNA (402 nucleotides) under uncultured bacterium. RNAcentral's name for it is "bacterial SSU rRNA". It matches the Rfam family "Bacterial small subunit ribosomal RNA", at positions 355 to 774 of the family's 1533-position model. The record is from RNAcentral.